GCCGGAUUAUUUCAAUGGGCAGAAUGUACCCCUCGUAAGGGUGAGGCGACAGUUCGAACCUGUCAUCCGGCUC
RNAcentral lists this transfer RNA (73 nucleotides) under Streptomyces phage Circinus. RNAcentral's name for it is "tRNA-Thr". It matches the Rfam family "tRNA". From Rfam's summary of the family: Transfer RNA (tRNA) molecules are approximately 80 nucleotides in length. Their secondary structure includes four short double-helical elements and three loops (D, anti-codon, and T loops). Lineage: Duplodnaviria; Heunggongvirae; Uroviricota; Caudoviricetes; Stanwilliamsviridae. The record is from RNAcentral.